RNAcentral lists this ribosomal RNA (300 nucleotides) under uncultured Bradyrhizobiaceae bacterium. RNAcentral's name for it is "bacterial SSU rRNA". It matches the Rfam family "Bacterial small subunit ribosomal RNA", at positions 31 to 358 of the family's 1533-position model. Lineage: Bacteria; Pseudomonadati; Pseudomonadota; Alphaproteobacteria; Hyphomicrobiales; Nitrobacteraceae. The record is from RNAcentral.
GAACGCUGGUCUCAGGCUUAAGAGUACAAGUCGAGCGGGUGUAGCAAUACAUCAGCGGCAGACGGGUUACCCACGCGUGGGAACGUAAAUUUUGGUUCGGAACAACCCAGGGAAACUUGGGCUAAUACCGGAUAAGCCCUUACGGGGAAAGAUUUAUCGCCGAAAGAUCGGCCCGCGUCUGAUUAGCUAGUUGGUGAGGUAAUGGCUCACCAAGGCGACGAUCAGUAGCUGGUCUGAGAGGAUGAUCAGCCACAUUGGGACUGAGACACGGCCCAAACUCCUACGGGAGGCAGCAGUGGG